RNAcentral lists this ribosomal RNA (322 nucleotides) under uncultured eukaryote. RNAcentral's name for it is "partial 18S ribosomal RNA". It matches the Rfam family "Eukaryotic small subunit ribosomal RNA", at positions 1470 to 1796 of the family's 1831-position model. The record is from RNAcentral.
CCCUUAGAUGUUCUGGGCCGCACGCGUGCUACACUGAGUGGAUCAGCGGGUCAGGUUGCGCGAAAGUGUUUCCUAAUCUUUAAAUCCGCUCGUGAUGGGGAUUGACGGUUGCAAUUUUCCGUCAUGAACGAGGAAUACCUUGUAAGCGCGGGUCAUCAUCCCGCGCUGAAUACGUCCCUGCCCUUUGUACACACCGCCCGUCGCUCCUACCGAUUGAGUGGUCCGGUGAGGCUUUGGGAUCUGAGCGGAAAGAGCGUUUCGCUGUAUCUGCCCGGAAAACUCAGUCGAACCUUAUCAUUUAGAGGAAGGAGAAGUCGUAACA